Molecule: long non-coding RNA, 425 nt
Filed under: Rattus norvegicus (Norway rat)
Lineage: Eukaryota; Metazoa; Chordata; Mammalia; Rodentia; Muridae
Description: long non-coding RNA NONRATT026903
Source: RNAcentral
ACUAGGUAAGAGAUGGAAGAGGGACGUCAGAGAAGUGCCUCUAGACCACUACCAAGGGAUUUGUCUCACGGAACCCUCCAACACAGAGUGUCCCACACCUGACCCCUGAGCUAGUCCUGCCCUCCCGGGUCUGUUCAUCAUCGCCUUUGCUGGAGCAUCCUUGUAAGCCGGAGCUGCCCAGCGGUUGGGAGAAGCGCGGGGCUCCGGAGGCAGAAGGCUGCCGGCUCUCCGGGUGUCCAGGCGCUCCUCCCGCUCGCCAGCCCCGGCUCCCUUGGCGCCUAGCCCUCGCCCCGGCGCCCAGCAGCCUCACAAACUUACUUGCGGGUCGGCGGGAGGGGGCUGCGGUGAGCGGUGCGAGCCCCGCAGCGGCGAGUGCGCCCCUCUCGGUGGGGCCGGGCGGCGCUGGCACUGCGCUCCCGCGGCCG